AAUCUGGCGUCUUUCAGGCGUCCGAGUUGUAAUCUAUAGAGGCGUUUUCCGCGCCGGACCGCGUCCAAGUCUCUUGGAAUAGAGUAUCAAAGAGGGUGACAAUCCCGUACUUGACGCGACAACCGGUGCUCUGUGAUACGUUCUCAAUGAGUCGAGUUGUUUGGGAAUGCAGCUCUAAAUGGGUGGUAAAUUCCAUCUAAGGCUAAAUAUUGGCGAGAGACCGAUAGCGAACAAGUACCGUGAGGGAAAGAUGAAAAGCACUUUGGAAAGAGAGUUAAACAGCACGUGAAAUUGUUAAAAGGGAAACGAUUGAAGUCAGUCGUGUGAAAGGUAUUCAGCCGUCUCUGGCGGUGUAUUUGCCUUUCACGGGUCAACAUCAGUUUGAUCCGGUAGAAAAAGGCGGGAGGAAGGUGGCACCCUCGGGUGUGUUAUAGCCUCCUGUCAUAUGU
Molecule: ribosomal RNA, 449 nt
Filed under: Vishniacozyma victoriae
Lineage: Eukaryota; Fungi; Basidiomycota; Tremellomycetes; Tremellales; Bulleribasidiaceae
Description: partial large subunit ribosomal RNA
Rfam family: Eukaryotic large subunit ribosomal RNA
Source: RNAcentral